Molecule: ribosomal RNA, 472 nt
Filed under: uncultured bacterium
Lineage: Bacteria
Description: SSU rRNA
Rfam family: Bacterial small subunit ribosomal RNA
Source: RNAcentral
GAUGAACGCUGGCGGCGUGCCUAACACAUGCAAGUCGAACGGAGUAUCUUUAACAGAAUUUCUUCGGAAAGGAAGAUAUUGAUACUUAGUGGCGGACGGGUGAGUAACGCGUGGGCAACCUGCCUCAUACAGGGGAAUAACAACCGGAAACGGUUGCUAAAACCGCAUAAUAUGCUAACAUCGCAUGAUGACUGCAUUAAAUAUUUAUAGGUAUGAGAUGGGCCCGCGUCUGAUUAGCUAGUUGGUGAGAUAAAAGCUCACCAAGGCGACGAUCAGUAGCCGGCUUGAGAGAGUGACCGGCCACAUUGGGACUGAGACACGGCCCAAACUCCUACGGGAGGCAGCAGUGGGGAAUAUUGCACAAUGGGGGAAACCCUGAUGCAGCGACGCCGCGUGAGUGAAGAAGUAUUUCGGUAUGUAAAGCUCUAUCAGCAGGGAAGAAAAUGACGGUACCUGACUAAGAAGCCCCGGC